CUCCAGAGGUGACCCGGGCAAUUACAGACCAGACAGAUUUCAACUUCUGAACCAGCAGUCAACAAAGAUUCCCCCAGCUGCUGAAAAAAGGAAAUCAAUAUGGGCGCUAUUCAUCUCAGAUCUGCAUGAGCCCACAACACUAUGUCUCUGCCACCUAGGUGCACCAGUCGUUAGGAUGCAGGUCUUAAGUAUUGAUACCACAGGUGAAUUCAAAACAGGGCCACA
Mauremys reevesii (Reeves's turtle) is the source of this 225-nucleotide long non-coding RNA. RefSeq lists it as uncharacterized. NCBI's taxonomy places the organism in Eukaryota, Metazoa, Chordata, Testudines, Geoemydidae. The transcript has 3 exons. The record is from RefSeq and is a predicted model, not a curated record.